UACGUAGGGGGCAAGCGUUGUCCGGAAUCAUUGGGCGUAAAGCGCGCGUAGGCGGCCCGGUAAGUCCGUUGUGAAAGUCAAAGGCUCAACCUUUGAACGCCGAUGGAUACUGCCGGGCUAGAGUCCGGAAGAGGCGAGUGGAAUUCCUGGUGUAGCGGUGGAAUGCGUAGAUAUCGGGAGGAACACCAGUGGCGAAGGCGGUUGCCUGGAGCUUUGCUGACGCUGAUGCGCGAAAGCGUGGGGAGCGAUCCGG
RNAcentral lists this ribosomal RNA (253 nucleotides) under uncultured bacterium. RNAcentral's name for it is "partial 16S ribosomal RNA". It matches the Rfam family "Bacterial small subunit ribosomal RNA", at positions 524 to 776 of the family's 1533-position model. The record is from RNAcentral.